RNAcentral lists this long non-coding RNA (6684 nucleotides) under Vitis vinifera (wine grape). RNAcentral describes it as "long non-coding RNA (VVIN_LNC000181)". Lineage: Eukaryota; Viridiplantae; Streptophyta; Magnoliopsida; Vitales; Vitaceae. The record is from RNAcentral.
AUAAAAGUCCCCUAAGAGAUAUAUUCCAAAGGCAGUACAUGUUAGCUUUUAGUCUGUAAUCCAUAUCGAAGCAGAACUGAGGAAAAGAAAUUUCACCAGAAAAAUAAAGGAGAAAAAAAGAAAAAGGAAGGCCUCAAUGGCCAACAACAAAUCGUAAAAGUAAAUUAGAUCAGAUUGAACUUUGGAUUUCUUGGGUUGCGGCCAAGAAGUUGAUAACCGGAAUCAAAAUCCAAUGAUUGAUCUCAAAGCAUUGCCAUCUCAGCGCCAUACAUGCAGCUGGUCUGCUGCAUUAAUGAACAAUUUUAAGGUUUCAAAGGUAAGAAUGAUCAGACACCAAGUAAUAUUUUAAGGGGACUAUUAAAAGAGCAAGAGGCGUGUUCAAUCAAUAAACAAAUUAGAAGAUAUGCCUAUAUGUGUCUUUGUAACUCUCUGAACCUAACUAAUUGACCCACCUUAUUUUCAUCUAUUGUUAGUUGGAUAAAAUGCACUGGGCAUAGAGUGAAAAGGUAAAAACAUCAAAUUGUUACCAUAAUCAUUAUCUCAGAUAAAAUUUAGACCCGAAACAUAGUAUGGGGUAGGGGGUUUGAAUCUCUCAUGUUCUUGUAUUGAGAAAGAGAAUGAGAUCAGAAAGCUAUUUGUGUGAUUAUUGAGGGAUCCCAAGCCAGUUGACUCGCCACAUUUUCAUCUAUUGCUAGUUGGAUAGAAUGGGAGGGUGGGCAUGGAGUGAAAAGCUACAUUGAUCAAAUGGUUACCCUAAUCAUUAUCUCAGAUAAAAUUUUGACCUGAAAGAUCUAUGUGGUGGAUCCAAUAAGUUGUGGGUCCAUUGUCACAGCAAGGAGGGGUUCUUCCUGAGCAAGCAUCUGCUUCUCCUGUCCCAGACUGGUAUUCCUUAUUGGCAAGCACAUAGCUCAAAUUCAAGGAAAGGAAUAUAAUUAUUGACAAGUUUUACAAUAUAUGUGGCCCAAAUGUUUGAAAAACAAGAAAAGAAGAGUUAUUGAAGUACCUUUCUCUUUAACCAGCUGCUGUACUUGAAGCUCCUUUCUUGCUUUAAUAUAUUCCAUAAGGGGUAAAGGAGAUUCCGGGAUGAUGCCAGACGACCCAUGGUAUUUUUAGGUCAGUAGGAGAAGGUCCGGUGAAUCAAAAGUCAUUUAAACAAAGGUGCCUCAUCAAUUAUUAUUCCAUGAGGGACCCAGUCAAGGAGAUCUACAAAUCCAAAAGCAUGGAAAGAAGAUGAGAAGAAUAUGGCCUCAGGAAUCAGGAAAAGAGAAACAAAAGGAACUAGUCACCAUCCCACCAAAGAAUAAUUGAAUUUUAUUGCUGCGAGUUUAUAGAAUGAACAGUGUUGCAUGAUGAAAAUGACGCGAGCAAUAUGUCACUUAUCAGUUUUUCUAUCCAUGCACUAUCUUAGUAAUGGAAAAACUUUAGAAGAAUGUAAAAAGAAUAAGGAUGAAUCUAUGCAAAUGACAGUAAAUACUUUUCUCAUGUAUCAAUACAUAAAGAGCAAUCAUGAAAUCAUAAUAAUAAUAAAAAAAAGAAACAUUCACACAAUGGUGCAAAAUCAUAAGGUCAUUUUCUUCAACUUACUUUCAUCCACACAUCUCAACAAAAAGUGCAAAAAAGGUAACAUGCAUUGCCAAGUUAGCCCCUGCAAUCUUUACUUAAUUUUCAUUUCAUCCCUACUCAAGCCCCCACAAUGAAGAAAUCAUAACUCCUCCCAUCCCACCUGCGUGUUGUUUGCAAAUGUGGCUGCUUCAGUCCACCAUCCAAAAUCAUAAUGUGAGUCUAGUGUAAACAUGGCCCAUCAACCCAUCAAUUUCUAAAGCAUAAUUAAGCAGUAUAUGGCAAACCAGAUAAAAAUUGAAUUCCAUCAUUCCAUUGUAUUAUUAACAGAAAGAACAAAAAAAAAUUGUAUGAUAAUGGGCUAAUUAUAACAAAUGGAAGCAUUGGUACAAGGAAAAUGAAUGUCUCCAAAAUAGCAUCUCUUGAAAUUUUAGAAGUAAAUUUGUUUUCAAUAAAGAGUGAUAAAAACUAACAAAUGCAAUGAAAAGUAAAAUGAGAGGAUGUCAUUCCCUUGAGGUUCUGAAACACACCCCUAAUGAAUAAGUCACCUCCAGAUGGGGCUCAUGCCUCAAUCAGUUCUUUAGGAGACAUACACAGUUACACCCUAUCUUCUGUGAGCUACAAAUGAACUUCCAAUCACCAAACUUCAGUAUUCAACCAGUAAAUCACCUGGUGUUUUGAGCAAACAUGAGAAUUAGUUUGCUAAAUAAUCUAGAACUUCAAAUCAUGAGCCAAAUAUAUGCAAAAGUUAAACAAAGAACAAGGUCAAUGACUGCAAUUGAAGUUUAAUGUAUUUCCACCUUUGCCUAAUUUAAGUUAUGUUCUGUCAAAGAUGGCCCAUAGUACUUGAACCUUUUAAAACCAUAAUUUUCAGCCAUGUUUACAUAGGUUUUGUGGUUAAUGGAGGAUGCCCGGUUUGAAGUUCACCUCAUGUCAGCUGUAAAAAAAUUUCAAUAUUCUUAAUGUAGAAUAUGACCUUUAUGUCGCACAUAUGAUGGCUUUCUUCACCAAGACAAGGAAUGUCAUACAUGUUUCAUUUAGUGAUAUUCAAUAUCUAGAAUCUGUGUGAGGAACAACAUCUUUGUCUAAGACCCCACAACUUGAUUGAUAGGGACAAAAUAGAAUCAUGCAAAAAUAUUCCCUCAAAUAAUUCAGGCAAGACUGAACUCAUUUCUGAUAAAAUGGUACACCCAACACCUUCUACCUCUUUGUUGACAAGACUUGAACCCAGAGCCUGGAUGGAUGAGGCCUGAGCUUCACAAAGAGAAGAAGCUGUAGAUACUGAUAUAAUCAGUUUCUCAAGAAAAUUAAACCAGUAGAGCACAGGAGGUCUCAGAGAAUUUAUACAGAGAAGUUACUUUUCCUAUUUUGUAGUGGAUAUUGAAUUAUUUAAGAUAUUGUACAUUCUCAAAACUUAAAAUAACAUUGGAACAAGAGCAUGUCAAAAGUGAAGUUUGAAGUCUUUCCUUGCAGAAGACCAUUCUUGUCUUUCUUGGAGAUCUUCUCUCCUUUGAUUUAUUUAAUCCCAUCUUCUUCCUUCACAACUGCUUUCAGAAGCGAGUUUUGAUCAACCCUAUACAUGUUAAGUAGAUGCAUUGUAAAUUCUCAACCCUGAUGAAUAGAGUUUCAUUCUUCAGAACAAGAUUUUCCUGUCAAUGAAUUUAAAAUUGCCUGUAGAUGGUCCACAAUAUUUUCUGAUAAAUCUAGAACACACUUCUGAACAACAUGCCAUUAAUUUUCUGGGUGCCAAGAGGACAAAGAGAAAGAACAUAAAACUCAGAGCUUUACUAUUAAUCUCAUAUGAAUGGUUGAUGCACUACUUAAUAGUUUAAGCUUCUUGAGGUAAUUGAUAACUUACUAUGAUAUCAUUUUUUUGUAACCCGUAAAUUGUGAUUUUCCUCUUCACAUGUGGAUAUGAGGCCAUAUAAGGGGUGCAUGGUUGGGUGUUAGCUUGAUAUACACUGUUGCCCCACUAAGCUGUUGGGUUUAUAUGGUCCUUUACAUGGUAGUUGCAAUAUAUUUUAUUUUAUUUGCACCCUAAAAGAAUGAUGGCAACCUCCCAGAUCAGCAUGGCAGAAUUCACAUGUCAAAUAUCUCCUGAAGGUUUCUAAAUCUAGUUACUCAAUUACUAUCUCUCUUAUUCCAGGGGUUCAUUUUUGCUGAUGAAGUCCAAAGUUUCUAGGCAGAACCUCAAGUCUCCCCAGUCAAUUCAUUACCUUGGAAAUUCCAAGACAACAAAAGAAAGUAUACGUUCGUGUCAUUUAUGUCUUUUAAGCAAUGUUAUUAGUGUUACACGGAAACUGUUUCUUGUCACUCACAGUUCAUAUAUCCAAUGUGAAUUUUUUAAGUCAACAUAUACUCACAAAAAGUGUCAUGGGGAAAGAACCAUGGACACCUGCUUCAUGUAAUAAAAUCAAUACCAAUUAAUAGUGAUCAGAUGAUAAUCUUAAAUGACAACCUAGGAUUUGGAUACACCUGAAAUUGUGUGAGCACUGGGGUUUAUUUUAAUGUAGUUGGGCCCAUUAGAAGAUUGUGGUAGGAGGUCUCCUAGCUGGUUUCUAACUUCAGUGCAUAUAGGUCAUCAGACUCAUCACCCAAUUCCAUACAUAUAGUUCUUGUGCCUUUUCAAUUCCUAUAGACUAGAGGAAUAAGAAAAUUAGGUGUAGAACCUUUUCCUUUUUCUCCUCUUUUAUAAUGAAGUAAAAUAACCACCAUGAUCAUCAUAUAAUGGAACUCCCGGAGGUAUAUCUUCCUUUCAAUGAUCUAAUCUUAUUUGAGGUUAAUAAACCUGUAAUUCAUUUAUGUGUGUGUAUAGCACAUAUGCUUCAGUCAUCACCUGGGCACCACAUGCUGAACACAUGGCAUUAGCUUGAUGUGUCACAUAGGCUACGUGGUGGUCGGACUUUGGCUUAGUGGUUGUUCUUGCCAGCUUGAAUAAGUGACCUUGAGAAUCAAUGGCAAGGGUAAAAAACUAGCAGGUUGCUUACGGUGUGCUUGGCAUGUCAUCUUGACACUUCAUUAGGUCAAUGGCAAGCCCAGUGAAUCCCCACAAGGACUUGAUGCAGUAGACAAUGAAAAAGUCAGCUCACUGUGAACUCUAGAAUAGUCGAGGGUCUUGAUUCCAUGGCUACAGCUGAAUCUCAUCAAGAUGUUGAUCCUCUGCUGUAUGUCACCUUCUUGAUCUAUAUGUGAGAAAGGCCCCCAAGGGGUUUGUCAUCUUCACUCUGUCUUUAAGACAAAAGUCAGCUCAUUCUUUCCUAGGGCAGAUGUCAGCUCAAAUCUAUCCCCAGUACAUGUUGUAAAGGCUGUCUACAUUGUAACUAGUGGAACCUACAGCUCCUGAGUUUUCCAGCAGCAGAGCUGGUCUUCACUGGCCAGCCCCUUUAAAUGGAACCAUUUUAACAUCUUCUAGCUCUGGGUCUCACUGUCUUCCUCCACCCUCCUUUUCUCUUAGGUUGUUGUGCUCUGCCCUCACUCCUGCUGUUCUCACAAGACCACUCAUCUCACAUGGUCUAUCUCCUGCAUCUAUGAACUAUACUUACACAUUUUCCCUACUAACCAAGGGGUAAAAGUAAUGCAGUUAGAUGAGCAACAGAUGGUACUUAUGUUUUUAUUGCUUUGUCGUCACUUAAAUACCACCGGGCAACCAUCUAACCACUAAAUCUGUUAUAAACAUUUGUAUAGAUUUAAAUGUAAGAAAAUUUAAUUACAUUUAAACCCAAACACAUGUCAUCUGGCUAGACACAAGUUAUACAUUUCCAGCUCUACUUAUGCCAUCCACGCCCUAAAUUCCAAUAAAGGGACUGAAAGCCUGCUAGAUUAAGCAGUAAACCAAGCAUUACCUAAGAGGCAGGCAUUCUUUUCCAUGAAUAUUGCCAAUGACACUUGAACAGAAUGGCAUUCCUGUAUAGACUUGGAUAAAACUCUAAACCUGGAAAAAAAAAAUAUGAAUAUUUACUAGGUGAUGAUACGAAAAAGCAUACAGAGAAUUGGAUUUACCCUGGAAGCCAAGAGGUGAAACCAUAAAAGGAGUUCUUGAUUGAUUAGGAUGACAGUACAUUGAGAUCAAGCAAACCCUAGAUUUGAGCCUCUCUGUUUUAGUCCAUGCUCCCAAAAAUUGUUAAUCAGGAUAGGAUGGUAAGACACUUGAGAUAUUAUCAAGGGAAAAUUGACUCUGAAUAAUAGAGCCAGUAACUUGAUGGAAUGGAAAUGACCUUUGGUUAUGAUGAAUUCAUAGUGUGAUCUAUGCCCUUCAUAGGCUAUCAAAGGUGAACUAUACUGCAGAAAGCAAAUUUUCUUAGGUAUGAGAGGCAGAGGAAAUUUCAUGUCCAUAAAUUAAAAAUUAAAAAAUACAAGGAAUUAAAGAAAAUGAAAUAUAAAGUACAGUAACACUAAAUGCAAUAGUGAAGAACAAAUAACAAAACUAAAAUCUCUUUGGAACUUCUUUGAAACAUGUAAUAGAGACUAGAAAUCCAGUGAUGAAAAAAAGUACAGAAUGCAGAUUCAACUUUUAAGAUUUCUAAAGAAGCUUAUUAAUAUUUAAUUAUGGGAAACCAAUGUAGGCUUCAAGUGAAAUUUCCUUCAUACCUGUCACUAAUCAUGUUUAAUACCAUAUUUUCUGCCAUUCCCAGGCUUCUGCAGCCCCUUAACUUCCAUUGUCCCACCCUAACCUAACGCACAUCUAGCUCCAAAUGCAACACAUUAUUAAGCCAUUUCCAGCUACACCCUUCUAACAAGCUCACCACAUUAUUAAGGCACGAAAAAUUCCAGACAACUAAUGUUGCAAAAAAAAAAAAAAAAAAGGCAUCAAAUCCGAAAUAAAAAUCGUUUUGAUAAACACAGAGUAACCCUAUCAGUUUCAAGAAAGCCAUGACAAAGCAGAACCCAUAAACACCAAUAAGUUCAAUCAACCGGCUUUGGGGGAUUUCAGUUUUUUUGUAUAAGCAAUUACUUCUGGGCGUCAAAGAAAGAUGGGUUAAUAAAUGCAGUCAAAGGAUCAUUCAGAACUAAGUUGAUAAGGACCAUUUGGAGAGAAACCCAGAUGGUAAAACUGGUUUUCAUCAAAACCCACUAAUCAAAAUCAGAAGAAAAAUACCUCUAACCAAUCAAUCUGUGAUGGAAAAU